RNAcentral lists this ribosomal RNA (1342 nucleotides) under uncultured bacterium. RNAcentral describes it as "16S ribosomal RNA". It matches the Rfam family "Bacterial small subunit ribosomal RNA", at positions 28 to 1378 of the family's 1533-position model. The record is from RNAcentral.
GACGAACGCUGGCGGCGUGCUUAACACAUGCAAGUCGAACGGAAAGGCCCUGCUUUUGUGGGGUGCUCGAGUGACGAACGGGUGAGUAACACGUGAGUAACCUGCCCUUGACUUUGGGAUAACUUCAGGAAACUGGGGCUAAUACCGGAUAGGAGCUCCUGCUGCAUGGUGGGGUUGGAAAGUUUCGGCGGUUGGGGAUGGACUCGCGGCUUAUCAGCUUGUUGGUGGGGUAGUGGCUUACCAAGGCUUUGACGGGUAGCCGGCCUGAGAGGGUGACCGGCCGCAUUGGGACUGAGAUACGGCCCAGACUCCUACGGGAGGCAGCAGUGGGGAAUAUUGCACAAUGGGCGGAAGCCUGAUGCAGCAACGCCGCGUGCGGGAUGACGGCCUUCGGGUUGUAAACCGCUUUCGCCUGUGACGAAGCGUGAGUGACGGUAAUGGGUAAAGAAGCACCGGCUAACUACGUGCCAGCAGCCGCGGUGAUACGUAGGGUGCGAGCGUUGUCCGGAUUUAUUGGGCGUAAAGGGCUCGUAGGUGGUUGAUCGCGUCGGAAGUGUAAUCUUGGGGCUUAACCCUGAGCGUGCUUUCGAUACGGGUUGACUUGAGGAAGGUAGGGGAGAAUGGAAUUCCUGGUGGAGCGGUGGAAUGCGCAGAUAUCAGGAGGAACACCAGUGGCGAAGGCGGUUCUCUGGGCCUUUCCUGACGCUGAGGAGCGAAAGCGUGGGGAGCGAACAGGCUUAGAUACCCUGGUAGUCCACGCUGUAAACGGUGGGUACUAGGUGUGGGGUCCAUUCCACGGGUUCCGUGCCGUAGCUAACGCUUUAAGUACCCCGCCUGGGGAGUACGGCCGCAAGGCUAAAACUCAAAGGAAUUGACGGGGCCCCGCACAAGCGGCGGAGCAUGCGGAUUAAUUCGAUGCAACGCGUAGAACCUUACCUGGGUUUGACAUGGAUCGGGAGUGCUCAGAGAUGGGUGUGCCUCUUUUGGGGUCGGUUCACAGGUGGUGCAUGCCUGUCGUCAGCUCGUGUCGUGAGAUGUUGGGUUAAGUCCCGCAACGAGCGCAACCCUUGUUCACUGUUGCCAGCACGUUAUGGUGGGGACUCAGUGGAGACCGCCGGGGUCAACUCGGAGGAAGGUGGGGAUGACGUCAAGUCAUCAUGCCCCUUAUGUCCAGGGCUUCACGCAUGCUACAAUGGCUGGUACAGAGAGUGGCGAGCCUGUGAGGGUGAGCGAAUCUCGGAAAGCCGGUCUCAGUUCGGAUUGGGGUCUGCAACUCGACCUCAUGGAGUCGGAGUCGCUAGUAAUCGCAGAUCAGCAACGCUGCGGUGAAUACGUUCCCGGG